This 497-nucleotide ribosomal RNA is filed under the name uncultured bacterium. Its description in RNAcentral is "partial 16S ribosomal RNA". It matches the Rfam family "Bacterial small subunit ribosomal RNA", at positions 28 to 507 of the family's 1533-position model. The record is from RNAcentral.
GAUGAACGCUGGCGGCGUGCCUAAUACAUGCAAGUCGAGCGAACAGACGAUGAGCUUGCUCCUCUCACGUUAGCGGCGCGCGGGUGUGUCACGCGUGUAUAACCUCCCUAUCAGACUGGGAUAACCUCGGGACACCGGCGCUAAUACCGUAUAAUAUAUUGAACCGCGGGGUUCAAUAGUGAGAGACGGUGUUGCUGUCACGUAUAGAUGGAUCCGCGCCGCAUUAGCUGGUUGGUAAGGUAACGGGUUACCAAGGCAACUAUGCGUAGGCGACCGGAGGGGGUGAUCGGCGACACUGGAACUGAGACACGGUCCAGACUCCUACGGGAGGCCGCAGUAGGGAAUCUUCCGCAAUGGGCGAAAGCCUGGCGCAGCAACGCCGCGUGAGUGGUGAAGGUCUUCGGAUCGUAAAACUCUGUUAUUAGUGAAGAACAAAUGUGUAAGUAACUAUGCACGUCUUGACGGUACCUAAUCAGAAAGCCACGGCUAACUACGUG